Molecule: ribosomal RNA, 584 nt
Filed under: uncultured bacterium
Lineage: Bacteria
Description: partial 16S ribosomal RNA
Rfam family: Bacterial small subunit ribosomal RNA
Source: RNAcentral
UGGGGAAUUUUGGACAAUGGGCGAAAGCCUGAUCCAGCAAUGCCGCGUGUAUGAAGAAGGCCUUCGGGUUGUAAAGCACUUUUGUCCGGAAAGAAAUCCUUGGCUCUAAUACAGUCGGGGGAUGACGGUACCGGAAGAAUAAGCACCGGCUAACUACGUGCCAGAGCCGCGGUAAUACGUAGGGUGCAAGCGUUAAUCGGAAUUACUGGGCGUAAAGCGUGCGCAGGCGGUUUGCUAAGACCGAUGUGAAAUCCCCGGGCUCAACCUGGGAACUGCAUUGGUGACUGGCAGGCUAGAGUAUGGCAGAGGGGGGUAGAAUUCCACGUGUAGCAGUGAAAUGCGUAGAGAUGUGGAGGAAUACCGAUGGCGAAGGCAGCCCCCUGGGCCAAUACUGACGCUCAUGCACGAAAGCGUGGGGAGCAAACAGGAUUAGAUACCCUGGUAGUCCACGCCCUAAACGAUGUCAACUAGUUGUUGGGGAUUCAUUUCCUUAGUAACGUAGCUAACGCGUGAAGUUGACCGCCUGGGGAGUACGGUCGCAAGAUUAAAACUCAAAUGAAUUGACGGGGUCAUAGCUGUUUCCU